GCACCCCAGGUCAGGCGGGGCUA
RNAcentral lists this ribosomal RNA (23 nucleotides) under Opuntia ficus-indica. RNAcentral describes it as "26S ribosomal RNA". RNAcentral also lists the same sequence under 1 other name. Lineage: Eukaryota; Viridiplantae; Streptophyta; Magnoliopsida; Caryophyllales; Cactaceae. The record is from RNAcentral.